This 429-nucleotide ribosomal RNA is filed under the name Acidobacteriota bacterium. RNAcentral describes it as "Acidobacteria bacterium partial 16S ribosomal RNA". It matches the Rfam family "Bacterial small subunit ribosomal RNA", at positions 355 to 776 of the family's 1533-position model. Lineage: Bacteria; Pseudomonadati; Acidobacteriota. The record is from RNAcentral.
UGGGGAAUUUUGGACAAUGGGGGCAACCCUGCUCCAGCAAUGCCGCGUGUGUGAAGAAGGCCUUCUGGUUGUAAAGCACUUUUUUCCGGGAAGAAAUCGCACCUGAUAAUACCGGGUGUGGAUGACGGUACCGGAAGAAUAAGGACCGGCUAACUACGUGCCAGCAGCCGCGGUUAUACGUAGGGUUCAAGCGUUAAUCGGAAUUACUGGGCGUAAAGCGUGCGCAGGCGGUUGUGCAAGACCGAUGUGAAAUCCCCGGGCUUAACCUGGGAAUUGCAUUGGUGACUGGAUGGCUAGAGUGUGUCAGAGGGGGGUAGAAUACCACGUGUAGCAGUGAAAUGCGUAGAGGUGUGGAGGAAUACCGGUGGCGAAGGCAGCCCCCUGGGGUAACACUGACGCUCAUGCACGAAUGCGUGGGGAGCAAACAGG